RNAcentral lists this transfer RNA (73 nucleotides) under Lachnospiraceae bacterium. Its description in RNAcentral is "tRNA-Thr". It matches the Rfam family "tRNA". From Rfam's summary of the family: Transfer RNA (tRNA) molecules are approximately 80 nucleotides in length. Their secondary structure includes four short double-helical elements and three loops (D, anti-codon, and T loops). The record is from RNAcentral. Lineage: Bacteria; Bacillati; Bacillota; Clostridia; Lachnospirales; Lachnospiraceae.
GCUGCUAUGGCUCAGGUGGUAGAGCGUCGCCUUGGUAAGGCGGAGGUCACGGGUUCAAGUCCCGUUAGCAGCU